This 702-nucleotide long non-coding RNA is filed under the name Mustela putorius furo (domestic ferret). RNAcentral's name for it is "lncRNA (ENSMPUG00000027470.1)". The record is from RNAcentral. Lineage: Eukaryota; Metazoa; Chordata; Mammalia; Carnivora; Mustelidae.
AUUCAUAUGAAUUGACAUCCUCAUCUUUAUAGCAAGAGUCACAAACUAUAGUUGUUAUGUAUUUUUUUAGCGAAGAAGGGGCCCACAAAAGGGGAGGUGUCGGGACCACAGAUGUCAGUGCAACCCUGGGCCCCCCAGCGGGGAGGCACUUUCUCUCUGGUCAUCUCAUUUCCGAUUGCUGAUCACCAGCAACCCUGCAGAGAGGCUGCACUUUGGAAAAAAGAGCUCAUUGGUGUCACCAGUCCUGAAUGCCCCUUGUUGCCAUUUCAGGGUCCUUUUCUGCCAUGGAGACGUCAGGUGGAAGAGCCCCUACUCCGGAGAGGAGAAGCUCUCAGUCUACCCCCAAGCCUCAUCUGCCACCUUCUCCAGCUACCACUGGGCUGCCCGGAAGAGAGCAGCAUGGUCAGAACAGCACAGCCACUAGAACGUGAGCUCCGUGAGAGCAGAGACUUCCAUUGGCCUUGUUCAGUGCCGUACCUCUUGUGGCUAGAACAGCGCCUGCCACACGCAGCCCAUCAAGAAGCCCGGAGGUGAUCCGAGAGCUACCUGGCUUCAUAGCCUUGGCUUUUGGCCUCAGUGGCCGGAGGAAACUCCUCAGCCUGGAGCUUGAGGCUCUUGGAGGCGCCUUGGAGGUAAGAGAGGGCGCUGGAGGCAGAGGAAGGCUCUCCCUCUCGGCGCGUCACUGAAGCAUCUCCCCUCCCU